AUGCAGCUUGCGGUCCAGCAAAACAGAGGCAGGCUGCCCUGUUUCUGGGGGAAAACAGAGUCGUGGCAAUUCGAACUUGGUUGGUUGUUUUGGGAUGGUUUCCAUGACAUGGUCAAGGAGACAUACGGUGGGUCUCCUCAAAAAGAAGAAGGCAUCAACUUUGCUAAUGCUACGUUUCCCUCCCCCCGGCGACGCCUCCCCCUGGGCGACGCCAGGGGCUCCCAAACCCUAGCACCGCAGGCCUCCCCUCCCUCUCCUUCUGCCGCCGCGGCCGCCGGCGUGGGUCGCGGUGGUGGCGGGCCCGGUGCCGAAGGCACCUGGGCGGGUGGAUGCGGCGAGAUCUCAUCUGAGGCGGCAAGGGCGGCUCCGCUUGUGGGAUCCGAAGGCAGCGGCUGGGGCAGCGAACCCAUGUCGUGUGGCGGUGGCCGAAGUGCCAUAAGCCGGCGGAGCGGCAGCCCUGCGUUGGACGGCGGCGGUGGCAGCGCCCCAUCCGGCGCGGUGGCUAAUCUGUGCGGACAUGGUGACGGCGGCGACUGCGGAUCCAACGCCUCGAUCGGAUCCGCCGCAGGAUGGCCUUCCACCGACCGACGGCGCGUGGAGGGACCGGUGAGGAGAUGUCGGAUCUCCGCCGGAUUACCGACGACGACGUUCAUCUUCGUGUCGAGGCUUCGCUCGGUUUCAGCUAGCCGCGAGAUCGGGACGACAUGCAACCCGGAUACCAAGGAGAGAACGAAUCGCUUAAAAUCGGACGAGUUUACCCCUGAUUUGUUACAGAGAGACGGCGGGUUAGUUACUGCGCGCAUGCAAACGAUUGCCUAUAUUCUCGCGCACGACUCCUCUCCGUUUCCAUCUCUGUGCAUGCGAAUCUAUCUCUCUCCUCAACUCUGCAUGCGCAUAUCUCCUCUGCCUUGCCUUGGGAAGAUGCAAAAGCCAUUGGAAAGAGAGCUCGGAGUUAUAGCGGUUUAUUCAAGCCGGAACAAUAGGGCCUGCAGUCUAUCCGAUGACCGGAGUCCGCGUGACGAUUGGUUGCUCCAUGCCGUUGCACCAAACAUAGACACGGAAACGUUCCAAGAAGGAAGACCUCGCCUCCAAGGGAAAUCGCCAGGCCUCGUUGCGCCUUAUGCACCAAACUGUUGCCGGAGAGGGCCCCCUGCCCUCCCGUUCCGGAUAAUGGAGCCCAAGCCCAUGCUGACAACAAUAACCCUGCUAAGCUACUUCGCCGUAAGUAGCCCGGUUGUUUUCCGUCUUCACAUGAGUAGGAAGUUGAAGGAUUCCCUUGAGACGAUUGAUCAACUGGUUGUGGAGAUGAACAAUUUCCACUUCUUAGAACAUGCAGAGGCACCACGCAUUGUUCAUCCACAAACACACUCUCGAGUUGAUGAAUCAGAGGUUGUCGUUGGUAUGGGGGGAAUUGGUAAGACUACUCUUGCCCAACUUGUGCACAAUGAUGAGAGGGUGAAGCAUAACUUUGAGUUGGCCAUAUGGGUCUGUGUCUCUGAUAUGUUCGUCAUUGAACAAAUUAUUCGAUCUAUAAUACAAGUGGUCACAAUGAACAAGUGUGAAUUGACUGAGAUGGAAGCAUUGCAGAAGAAACUUGGUGAAGUGUUAGGCAAUAAAAGGUACCUCUUAGUACUGGAUGAUGUUUGGAAUGAAGAUACACAAAAGUGGAAUGAUAUGAGAUCUUUGUUAUGCUUACAUGCUGGCCCAGGCACUGUUAUAGUUGUUACAAGCCGCAACGAUCAAGUUGCUUCUAUCAUGGGCACAAUUCCUCCACAUCAAAUAUCACUUCUGGAUGAAGAUCAAUCACAGGAGCUUUUUCAUAUAAACACAUUCAUAAGGCAAGUGGAAAAUCAAGAGGAAUUGAUCUCAAUGGUUAAGAGUGUUGUUCAUGAAUGUAAGGGAUUGCCUCUUGCUAUCAAGAUGAUGGCUGCUUUACUUCGUUCAAAGCAUCAUAGUCAGUGGGUUUCUGUUUUGGAUAGUGAUGUUUGGAAGAAUGGUCUCCUCACAAAUACUGGAAUUGUACCUGCACUACAACUAAGCUAUGAUCACUUGUCAUCAGAAGAAAAAAUAUGUUUUUCCUUCUGUGCUGUUUUACCCAAGGAUAGCCUAAUGGAUAAAGACAUGUUAAUCCAGUUAUGGAUGGCAAAUGACUUUAUUGCAUCGGAAACAAGAGGCCAACAAAUUUUUGAUGUGCUAGUCUCGAGAUGUUUCCUCCAGUUAUGUGCGGAGAUUCAAAAUAAUGACUUCAUCCACCGACCAACUACUUGCAAGAUGCAUGAUCUCAUGCAUGACCUUGCUAACUCCGUCAGCAAAAAUGAUUGUUCCAUUUUGCAAGAAUCUACAUCACAUGAAGAAAUUUUUCAAGGGUCCAUAGAUAGUGGUUUGUUACUGCAGGAGAAAAUUCUAGCUCCCCGAGCCCGCACAAUAUUGGUCCAAAGGGGUUUGGAGUGGACUGAAACUUCUCUGGAUACACGCAAGUCUUUGAGUAUGGCCAUGUCAAAAUUCAUGUCCCUACGAGCAUUGAAGACAUUGUCAAUCAUAACAGACAUGACAAACUUGAAGCAUCUUCGCUACCUAUAUUGUUCUGAUUCUGAUAUAUCUGCACUACCGGAAGCCACUGUCAUGUUGUAUAACUUGCAAACAUUGAAGCUCAUUGGUUGUGUAUCCCUUAAGAAAUUGCCAGAAGGCAUACAAUAUAUGAGCAAUCUUCGGCACGAGUGUUAUUGGUUGGAGAGCAUGCCACGAGGUGGAAUUGAUGAACUGAAAUACUUGAAUCUAGGUGGUGUUCUUUCUUUGACUGAGCUGAGAAAAGUGCAUAGUGCAGAAAAGGCAAGACAAGCCAAUAUAAAUUUUCAAAUAAGUAGUGACACACUACGUAUGUCAUGCUACAAUGGCGGGUGGCUACAGUGCAUCAUGUCCGAUUUUUCCCUGCAGUUCGCUGGGUCAUUGGGCCUGCCAUGUGGCUCAGAUCUUGUUCAAAAAAAGAAAUCUCCCUUUCCCUGCCCAGUCCAAUCGGGAUCGAGAGCUCGAGGCCCCAGCCGCCGUUCCCACGGGCUACCGCCGCCGCGGCCUAGGCCAAGGUGCUCGCCGCCUCCUUGCUGCGCAACGGCGGCUCUGGCCUCGCGCCUGCCACGGCCACGGCCUAGUCCAGGUGGAGGUCGGCGGCCACGGCCGAGGCGCCCUGCUCCUGGAAGAUGGGGUGGGGGGCUAGCGGCGGCUCUGGCCUCUAUAUCACCACACAGAACGGACCUCGCCCCCUCCAUCAGGCAUGGCGACAGUGAAACGGCCGGCGCACGGAGCGGCUGCGACCUCCCGGCAACGACGGCGUUAUCGGACCAAGCAACAGCGGCGGGGUGCAGCACGGGUGCAAGCAGCGGCACGGGCGCACACAACACGAGCGAGAGUAGCGGCGGCGGCGCGCAGCACCGGAGCAAGAAGACUUGUGGCGGCACACAUCACCGGAGCGCAGCGGCACGCCGGCGGGCAGCACGGGCGCAAGCAGCAACGGCGAGCGAGCAAGCAGUAGGGCGACGCGCAGCACAGGUGCAGCCAAGAAGAAACCUUGCUGGUGAGCUCCGCCGCCACCGGGGUACCGACGUGGGCAACAGGGCACGAGCGCGGGAUGGCCGGCGGCACUGUACGACCGAGCUAGGUAUGGCAAGGACACAAUUGCAUUUUUAUUUUCUGAUUGAAGGGUGCAUCUGCAAAACUACCAGGGACUAA
Molecule: ribosomal RNA, 3723 nt
Filed under: Triticum aestivum (bread wheat)
Lineage: Eukaryota; Viridiplantae; Streptophyta; Magnoliopsida; Poales; Poaceae
Description: partial small subunit ribosomal RNA
Source: RNAcentral